RNAcentral lists this long non-coding RNA (1350 nucleotides) under Felis catus (domestic cat). RNAcentral's name for it is "lncRNA (ENSFCAG00000048467.1)". Lineage: Eukaryota; Metazoa; Chordata; Mammalia; Carnivora; Felidae. The record is from RNAcentral.
AUGGAUCUCAGACCCCCAGCCUCAUCCCUGCAUGGAUCUCAUUCUCCCAGCCCCAGCCCUGCCUGGACCUCAGCCUCCAAGCCUCGACCCUGCCUGGAUCUCAGACCCCCAGCCUCAGCCCUGGCUGGAUUUCAGACCCCCAGCCUCAGCCCUGGGAAGAUCUCAGAGUCCCAGCCUCAACCCUGCCUGAAUCUGAGACUCCCAGCCUCAGACCCUCCUGGAUCUCACCCUCCCAGCCUCGGCCCUGCCUGGACCUCAGACCUCCAGCCUUGGCCCUGCCUGGAUCUUCAGACCCCCAGCCUCAGCCCUGCCUGGAUCUUCAGACCCCCAGCCUCAGCCCUGCCUGGAUGUCAGACCCCCAGCCUUGGCCAUGCCUGGAUCUCAGACCCCCAGCCUCGGUCCUUCCUGGAUCUCAGGCCCCCACCUCAGCCCUGCCUGGAUCUCAGAUCCCCAGCCUCAGCCCUGCCUAGAUCUCAGACCCCCAGCCUCAUCCCUGCAUGGAUCUCAGACCCCCAGCCUCAGCCCUGCCUGAAUCUCAGACCCCCAGCCUCGGCCCUGCCUGGAUCUCAGACCCCCAGCCUUGGCCAUGCCUGGAUCUCAGACCCCCAGCCUCGGUCCUUCCUGGAUCUCAGGCCCCCACCUCAGCCCUGCCUGGAUCUCAGACCCCCAGCCUCGGCCCUGCCUGGAUCUCAGACCCCCAGCCUCAGCCCUGCUGGAUCUCAGACCCCCAGCCUUGGCCCUGCCUGGACCUCAGACCCCCAGCCUCAGCCCUGCCUGGAUCUCAGAUCCCCAGCCUCAGCCCUGCCUAGACCUCAGACCCCCAGCCUCGACCCUGCCUGGAUCUUCAGACCCCCAGCCUCAGCCCUGCCUGGAUCGCACACUGCUGGCCUCGGCCCUGCUGGAUCUCAGACCCCCAGCCUCGGCCCUGCCUGGAUCUCAGACCCCCAGCCUCGGUCCUUCCUGGAUCUCAGGCCCCCACCUCAGCCCUGCCUGGAUCUCAGAUCCCCAGCCUCAGCCCUGCCUGGAUCUCAGACCCCCAGCCUCAGCCCUGCAGGGAUUUCAGACCCCAGCCUCAGCCCUGCCUGGACCUCAGACCCCCAGCCUCAGCCCUGCAGGGAUCUCAGACUGCUAGACUACAGUACCACGAAAAGUCCAUGGUGGGGUGCCUGGGUGGCUCACUCAGUUAAGCCUCUGACUUAGGGUUCGAGCCCAGCGUGGGGCUCUGUGCGGACAGCUCGGAGCCUGGAGCCUGCUUCGGAUUCUGUGUCUCCCUCUCUCUCUGCCCCUCCCCUGCUCACACUGUCUCUCUCUCUCUUCCUUAAAUAAAUGAACAUUAAAAAAUUUUUAACA